AGCGAACGUUUGCGGCGGGCUUAACACAUGCAAGUCGAACGGGCUGUUCCUUCGGGGGGCAGUCAGUGGCGCACGGGUGCGUAACACGUAGGUAAUCAACCCUCUGGUUGGGGAUAACACUUCGAAAGGAGUGCUAAUACCCGGUAUGGCGCAGCGGUCUUCGGAUCGCGGCGAGAAAGACCCGCAAGGGUUGCCAGAGGACGAGCCUGCGGCCCAUCAGCUAGUUGGCGAGGUAACGGCUCACCAAGGCGAAGACGGGUAGCUGGUCUGAGAGGAUGAUCAGCCACACUGGAACUGAGACACGGUCCAGACUCCUACGGGAGGCAGCAGUGGGGAAUAUUGCGCAAUGGGCGAAAGCCUGACGCAGCCACGCCGCGUGAGUGAUGAAGGCC
RNAcentral lists this ribosomal RNA (392 nucleotides) under uncultured bacterium. RNAcentral's name for it is "bacterial SSU rRNA". It matches the Rfam family "Bacterial small subunit ribosomal RNA", at positions 29 to 416 of the family's 1533-position model. The record is from RNAcentral.